UUGAAUGAAAUAUAAAUUGAUUUAAUACCCACUAUAGAUUUAUGACUGUUCAUUUAGAAUUUAGAAGAAUUCACCCUUCUUUUAUUUCUCAAUUGAACGCGAAAGCCCUAAUCUCGAGCUCGUAAAAUUUUCUGGAGAAAAAUGAGAACCAAAACACGCGCCAGGGCUCGCUUUCCCGGAGCGUCUCGCCGAUCAGUCUCAACCAUCACUGCCACCACAAGGCCACUUCCUUCCCAUAUUCCGGAUCGUAGUUCAAAUGCAGAAGAAGAUGGAGCGGACAGGAUGGACAUAUCAAAUGAAAGUGAUGGAAGAGAAAGUAAUUCGAGUAGUGAUGAUGAAAUAGUGAAUACUUGCUUAAAAUGCAAUAAAGGUGGUAAAUUGCUGAUUUGUUGUGGAGCUGGUUGUGCAAUUUGUCUUCAUGUUGAGUGUAUCCCGCGUAAGCCCAAGUAUGAUGAAGAGGGAAACUUUCAUUGCCCUUAUUGUUGGUAUAAACUUCAGCAAGCUAGAGCCCAAGAAUGGAAGAAGAUGGCUUUAUUGGCUAAGAAAGCUUUGAGCGAUUUCAUGGAUUCCAGACAAGUUGAGGUUGGGAAUGAUAAAGCGAAGCUGAAUGAUCGGAGAAUAAAUGGGGCUGAUACAAGUGUUGGACCAGAGAGAAACUGCUGUGAGCAUUUCACCAAGAUGGAUGUUGAUGAUGAAGUGCGGAAUGAGACUGGGGAAGUGGAAGAAGAUCAAAAUGAGAAGAAUGUAAAGAUAUCUGAUGGCUGUCGAAGUACAGAAGUGGUUGAACAUGAAAACGUCUCCAAAAUUCAUGAGUUUGAAGUUCUACAUAAUGAUGAAGGUACGGAGAAAGAAAAGGAUAAUGAACAAGUUAUUGAUCAGUGGGAGGCUGGAAUUCUUGAAGGUGAAGAGCAAGAAGACCCUUUUAAUACCAACUGCAUAGAAGAAGAGACUCUUGUUGAUGACGCACUUCGAGGAUCAGCAGAGUUAAAAUCUGAAGCGUUAAAAGUUUCUGAAGGAAACCAAGCGAGGAAGGAGGAAGAAGAGGGAGUGCAUGAGGAUGCACCUGCAGCCAAUUGCACUGGUGGAGAUGUUGUGGCAGAUGUGCCCAAAAUGUCUGAUUCUGACAAUGAGACUCUUGCAGCGCGAUUGAGUUGGGCUAAGCAAAGGGCUAAUCAGAAAGCUAAUUCAACAAAGAAAUCAUCACAUCAUCCCGACAACAUCUCAGUAGAAAAAGCUAGGAACCAAAAUGAGAAAGUUAUUCCUCUGAAAAAGUCCAGACAAACCCAAGCUCCGGCUAAGAAAUUAACAAAUCUUUCAUUUCCUCAUGAAAAGCGUAAGAGGUUGCACUGGAAACCUGAAGAGGAAGAAAUGCUAAGGGUAUGGUGGCAUAGGUUUGCUACUUGAUUAGUUUUUUGCCCCUAGAUGUGACAGUGAGAUGGAAUCCCCUGAUUUAGGUUGCUUUCAGUUUUCUGCACAUGCUUUGCAACACAAACACCAUAAACAUGGUUCUGCUGUAAAUUAUGUUCAUUGGCCAUGGAUUUCUUAAACUGGACAAUAGCCAUAGCAUUCUACCAUACAGCUUUGAUGGAAAAGGGACUCUAGCAGCAGCUAUUGUACAAUGUUGAUGAGGUAGAUCAAAAUGCUUUCAGGUUCAACAGCAGUGGGAUUGAAGUAUUUGAUGUUUUGUUAGUUGUGACUUAAUUUUCCUAAUAUUCGACAUUGGUGUUUAUUAUCAAAGCAUUUGAUUGCCUCAGAGAUUAUGCAGCACCUAUCUUGUCUUCCAAAGUGGUUGAUCUGCCCCUUGUUUCUGAUGUCUCUAAUAAAUAGUGUAAAAUUUCAAAGUUACAACUAAUAGGAUGCAAUCGUCCUGACUCCCAAUUCCCAAUGAGUGAAUUGGCCCAAAAAAGAAGGGGUGCAGAAAUUUUCAACUACAGUGAAUAAAAAUCUUCCUUGGAAGAAAAUUUUGGAGUUUGGUCAUCAUGUUUUUGAUGGAAGUCGAACUCCUGCUGAUCUCAAAGAUAAGUGGAGGAACAUUGUGGCUAAAGACUCGUCAGCAGUUAAUGGUAGAACAUUGUCUUGAUGCAGAGGACUAGAGAGGUAGAAGGUGAAUCUGCUUUAUAGCAACAGUUUGAUAUAUACCCCACGUUUAUGUAUGUGUCAGACACUUGCAUCUGCAAACCUUUUGAUUUUGUUGAAGCCCUACUUGGAACUAACAGGGCGGGUGUAGUGUUUCGCAGAAGUUAAAGGAGGGUAGCUAGUUUUUGGUUUCUUUUUGUCUAAAUGUGCUUAAAUGCACUUGUGUAUUCUUUUUAUCGUAUAUCUGUAAAUAUCGACUGUGAUAUUAUUACAAUAUUUUGUUGAUAGUUCUA
Molecule: RNA transcript, 2369 nt
Organism: Ricinus communis (castor bean)
Lineage: Eukaryota; Viridiplantae; Streptophyta; Magnoliopsida; Malpighiales; Euphorbiaceae
Exons: 4
Source: RefSeq, a predicted model, not a curated record